UGACACAGUCUUAGCGUAGCGUUGAUCAA
This 29-nucleotide non-coding RNA is filed under the name Bombyx mori (domestic silkworm). The record is from RNAcentral. RNAcentral also lists the same sequence under 1 other name. Lineage: Eukaryota; Metazoa; Arthropoda; Insecta; Lepidoptera; Bombycidae.